AUGGCCGGAAGGAAGGGCGGCGAGAGGAAGAAGGCGGUGACCCGCUCCGUGAAGGCCGGGCUCCAGUUCCCCGUGGGCCGCAUCGGGCGCUACCUCAAGAAGGGCCGCUACGCCCAGCGCGUCGGCUCCGGCGCCCCCGUCUACCUCGCCGCCGUCCUCGAGUACCUCGCCGCCGAGGUCCUGGAGCUGGCCGGCAACGCGGCCAAGGACAACAAGAAGACGCGCAUCAUCCCGCGCCACCUGCUGCUCGCCGUCCGCAACGACCAGGAGCUCGGCAGGCUGCUCGCCGGCGUUACCAUCGCCCACGGCGGCGUCAUCCCCAACAUCAACUCCGUGCUGCUCCCCAAGAAGUCCCCCGCCGCCGCCGAGAAGGAGUCCACCAAGUCGCCCAAGAAGAAGACCGCCGCCAAGUCCCCCAAGAAGAAGACCGCAGCCACCAAGGAGUAG
This 447-nucleotide ribosomal RNA is filed under the name Triticum aestivum (bread wheat). Its description in RNAcentral is "partial small subunit ribosomal RNA". Lineage: Eukaryota; Viridiplantae; Streptophyta; Magnoliopsida; Poales; Poaceae. The record is from RNAcentral.